ACUCCUACGGGAGGCAGCAGUGGGGAAUAUUGGACAAUGGGGGCAACCCUGAUCCAGCCAUGCCGCGUGAGUGAUGAAGGCCUUAGGGUUGUAAAGCUCUUUUAUCCGGGACGAUAAUGACGGUACCGGAGGAAUAAGCCCCGGCUAACUUCGUGCCAGCAGCCGCGGUAAUACGAAGGGGGCUAGCGUUGCUCGGAAUCACUGGGCGUAAAGGGCGCGUAGGCGGCGUUUUAAGUUGGGGGUGAAAGCCUGUGGCUCAACCACAGAAUUGCCUUCGAUACUGGGACGCUUGAGUGUGGUAGAGGUUGGUGGAACUGCGAGUGUAGAGGUGAAAUUCGUAGAUAUUCGCAAGAACACCGGUGGCGAAGGCGGCCAACUGGACCAUCACUGACGCUGAGGCGCGAAAGCGUGGGGAGCAAACAGGAUUAGAUACCCUGGUAGGAUAGCG
This 448-nucleotide ribosomal RNA is filed under the name uncultured bacterium. Its description in RNAcentral is "bacterial SSU rRNA". It matches the Rfam family "Bacterial small subunit ribosomal RNA", at positions 335 to 799 of the family's 1533-position model. The record is from RNAcentral.